CUACGGGGGGCUGCAGCGGGGAAUAUUGCACAAUGGGCGAAAGUCUGAUGCAGCAACGCCGCGUGGAGGAUGACACAUUUCGGUGCGUAAACUCCUUUUAUAUAGGAAGAUAAUGACGGUACUAUAUGAAUAAGCACCGGCUAACUCCGUGCCAGCAGCCGCGGUAAUACGGAGGGUGCAAGCGUUACUCGGAAUCACUGGGCGUAAAGAGCGUGUAGGCGGGUUAAUAAGUUGGAAGUGAAAUCCUAUGGCUCAACCAUAGAACUGCUUCCAAAACUGUUAACCUAGAAUAUGGGAGAGGUAGAUGGAAUUUCUGGUGUAGGGGUAAAAUCCGUAGAGAUCAGAAGGAAUACCGAUUGCGAAGGCGAUCUACUGGAACAUUAUUGACGCUGAGACGCGAAAGCGUGGGGAGCAAACAGGAUUAGAUACCCGGGUAGUC
RNAcentral lists this ribosomal RNA (439 nucleotides) under uncultured bacterium. Its description in RNAcentral is "partial 16S ribosomal RNA". It matches the Rfam family "Bacterial small subunit ribosomal RNA", at positions 339 to 795 of the family's 1533-position model. The record is from RNAcentral.